RNAcentral lists this long non-coding RNA (781 nucleotides) under Callithrix jacchus (white-tufted-ear marmoset). RNAcentral describes it as "lncRNA (ENSCJAG00000068254.2)". The record is from RNAcentral. Lineage: Eukaryota; Metazoa; Chordata; Mammalia; Primates; Cebidae.
AACCUAGAGGCGCUCCCGCGCGAGCCCCGCCGCUUCCAGUCCGCCCUCGCCCGGCCCGGCGCAGGUCGCUCCCUCCUCCCAGCCGCGUCCGCACUUUUCCCCCGGCAGGGGGCCCAGGUCGAGCUGGGCCAAUCCCGCGCGCGCCGCGCAGGACCCCUCCCGGAGGCCCGGGGCGCGGUGGCUUCCCUUCGUCCAAACGGGGGGUGUCUCCUCCAUCACCCCAGCCGCAGCUUCCCAGCCGGAGUCGGGCUGCCGGACGAGGGAGGCGCGCUCCUCUGCGGCCGGGGUCUGGGGGGUGCCAGCGCGCCCCCGAGUGAGCGGUUGGGGACGGCGCGGAGCCGCCGACCCGCCGCGCGCCCUCCGGUCCCGGAGCGGCCCCAGCCUGCGCCCCCGCGGGCCCCGCACCUCGCCUGGGCCCUGCCCUGUCCUGCCGCGUGGCGGCCUCUCCGCACCCCGAGUCCCGGGGCCGACAUGCAGACUCUCACGGUUUUGAAGAAGAAAACUCUAGGGCAGGAAAGUGGAGGGAGCCUGCAGCAGAGACGGGAAUGGAAUGAUCACUUCAGCUGCUGUGAAGUCAAGUGGGCCAAGAGAUGAGCAGCCAAGCACAGCAAAACUUCAUUUCAUCCCCACCUACUUAUGAAUGGAAAACAUCAUAUGGACUUGGGCAUCAGGUAGACCUGGUUUGAAUACUAGUUAUUUCUCUCAAUUACUAGUUGUGUGGCCUAGGGCCAGCCACUUAAAUUGCCUUCUUUCUGUAUGUUCAAAAAAUGGAUUAUCGGGC